CUGCAAAAAUAAGAAGCAUAUAUUAGGCCAUGCUCCGCAUAAUUCUUAGCAUCUGCCUAAAGAAAUAACGUAGAAUUGUUUUCAUUUGAUUUGUACACGAAGCCAUCCGGGCUACUUUUCAUCAUCAGAAAAUUUGAUAUUAUAAACAAUAACUUUACAUAAUCUUUCUCCAAUUUCCUCGUCAGACAUAGCAAGAUUCUUUGUUAGAAUACUUGAAUUCUUCCUCUGCCCAAUAUUGAAGUUCAUAUGCUAAUUCAGUUAGAUCGUCAUCCGACACAGUAGGGAUUUGAAGUAUAAGGGUUUUGACCUCUGUAACAUAAUUCUUGAUCGUGUCUUUACGCUUCAACUCCCUUAAUUUCAUUCUUGUAUUUUAAACAAGAUGAUUGGGGUAGAAUAAUUUCAUAAAAGCAUCUCAAGUCCGAUCUGGACUAACAUUUGCUCAGUGAGCUUUUGUGCUGCAAGCGUUGAAGAAGAGGUUUGGGGGUUUCUAGAGGAAGCUGGAGACUUGGGAUUGCAGAGUGUGGAAGGCUUCUCAAAGCCCGGCCGCCUGGUAUGGUGGCUGCGGCGG
This 568-nucleotide long non-coding RNA is filed under the name Olea europaea subsp. europaea. Lineage: Eukaryota; Viridiplantae; Streptophyta; Magnoliopsida; Lamiales; Oleaceae. The record is from RNAcentral.